This 272-nucleotide ribosomal RNA is filed under the name Rothia sp. (in: high G+C Gram-positive bacteria). RNAcentral's name for it is "Rothia sp. (human oral metagenome) partial 23S ribosomal RNA". It matches the Rfam family "Bacterial large subunit ribosomal RNA", at positions 2650 to 2925 of the family's 2925-position model. The record is from RNAcentral. Lineage: Bacteria; Bacillati; Actinomycetota; Actinomycetes; Micrococcales; Micrococcaceae.
GGCGUAGGAUAUUUGAGAGGAUCUGUCCUUAGUACGAGAGGACCGGGAUGGACUGACCUCUGCUGUACCUGUUGGGAAUCAAUCCCAUCGCAGGGUAGGCAAGUUGGGAAUGGAUAAACGCUGAAGGCAUCUAAGCGUGAAGCCAACCUCAAGAUGAGAUAUCCCAUCGCAAGAGUAAGACCCCUUGAAGAGAACGAGGUAGAUAGGACUGAGGUGUAAGUGUAGUAAUACAUUCAGCUGACAGUUACUAAUAGGUCGAGGGCUUAUCCAAU